AGAUUCUAAAAAGAAGAUAACACUUGUCCGAUUUCCAACUCUGAUUUAUAUGAAGUUUUUUGUUCCCUUAAAUCAAGAACUAACUUUGGACUUAACUACAGGGAUAACUGCCACAAAUUCCCUCAGUUA
Long non-coding RNA from Protopterus annectens (West African lungfish), 129 nucleotides. RefSeq lists it as uncharacterized. The record is from RefSeq and is a predicted model, not a curated record. The transcript is spliced from 4 exons. Lineage: Eukaryota; Metazoa; Chordata; Ceratodontiformes; Protopteridae.